Molecule: small RNA, 2753 nt
Filed under: Pan troglodytes (chimpanzee)
Lineage: Eukaryota; Metazoa; Chordata; Mammalia; Primates; Hominidae
Description: processed transcript
Source: RNAcentral
GGGCCUUUGAAUACCUGCGGGGUGAUGAGAUGGGGUCCCUUUAGCGGUGGCAGCCCAAGGGGCUGUAGAGAUGGCGCAGAAAGAGCAGGAACUCGGAGACUGUGGUGUCGAGAGAGAAAAUGUCUUUCUAAGACUUGUUCGAAGUACACAAAAAUAUUGGGCUUAAAGAGACUCUUUAGAACGGAGAGAGUUGAAAGUAAAGGGGAAUUUUUGAGGCAAGCGAAGUCAAUGAGGUGAAUGGUAACUGGUCACAAAAUUUUUGUUCUAAAGCAUCUGAAAUCUCAAAAAAGUUCUUGGGAGAGAAGGAUUUUGGAAAGGGGGGAUAAACUCUUUGGUUUAGAGGAGGUAUCCAAACACCUUCCAGCUGGUGGGGUGUCACAGGAUUGAUGUCCAGGCGAGGGACAUUAAUUUUCUAACCAAAAAGAGUGGAAACAUUUUACCUCUUUUCCUGCUUUCAAAAACCUGUUACUGCAAAGACCUCGGAUUUGUGGGUCAAUGGAUUUGGGUACUAUAUUCUUCUUACCGUAUCUUUUUUUCUUGCUUUCUUCAGAGUGUGAACAUGGCUACGCCUCUUCAUUCCCGUCCAUGCCGAGCCCCCGACUGCAGCAUUCAAAGCCCCCACGGAGGUUGAGCCGGGCACAGAAACACAGCAGCGGGAGCAGCAACACCAGCACUGCCAACAGAUCUACACACAAUGAGCUGGAAAAGAAUCGCUUGAAGAAUUGGUUGGUUGGGAGAAGGGAUACCAGAGGCAUAAAGAUGCUUUUGAAGGCUAUUGCAGUAAUCUAGACGAGCUCAUCUGCGCCUUUGUUUAGAACGCUUAAAAGUUCUGAUUCCACUAGGACCAGACUGCACCCGGCACACAACACUUGGUUUGCUCAACAAAGCCAAAGCACACAUCAAGAAACUUGAAGAAGCUGAAAGAAAAAGCCAGCACCAGCUCGAGAAUUUGGAACGAGAACAGAGAUUUUUAAAGUGGCGACUGGAACAGCUGCAGGGUCCUCAGGAGAUGGAACGAAUACGAAUGGACAGCAUUGGAUCAACUAUUUCUUCAGAUCGUUCUGAUUCAGAGCGAGAGGAGAUUGAAGUGGAUGUUGAAAGCACAGAGUUCUCCCAUGGAGAAGUGGACAAUAUAAGUACCACCAGCAUCAGUGACAUUGAUGACCACAGCAGCCUGCCGAGUAUUGGGAGUGACGAGGGUUACUCCAGUGCCAGUGUCAAACUUUCAUUCACUUCAUAGAACCCAGCAUGACAUAACAGUGCAGGGCAAAAUAUUCACUGGGCCAAUUCAAUACAAACAAUCUCUUAAAUUGGGUUCAUGAUGCAGUCUCCUCUUUAAAACAAAACAAAACAAAACUAUACUUGAACAAAAGGGUCAGAGGACCUGUAUUUAAGCAAAUACUUAGCAAAAAGUGGGGCAGAGCCUCCCAAGGAGAACAAAUAUUCAGAAUAUUCAUAUUGGAAAAAUCACAAUUUUUAAUGGCAGCAGAAAACUUGUGUGAAAUUUUCUUGAUUUGAGUUGAUUGAGAAGAGGACACUGGAGAUGCCAUCCUCUUUCUCUUUUCUAGUUUGCUCAUACUACAUUGAGUAGACACAUUUAAGGAUGGGGUUAUGAACCCUUCCUGAGCUUUAUGGUCCUAAAAGCAAAAUAAAAACUAUUCGAAUGAAAAGACAAGAAAAUCAGGUAUUAAUCUUGGAUAGCUAAUAAUGAGCUAUUAAAACUCAGCCUGGGACAGUUUAUCAUGAAGCCUGUGGAUGAUCAAUCCUUUAUUAUUAUUAUUUUUUUUUGAAAAAAGCUCAUUUCACGCUCUGCAAAAGGAGAGACUCCCAUGAAGCCUUUUGAAAGGGAUCAUCAUGCAGCUCAACUUUCUGUUGGAUUCCAUGCUAAGCAAGCUAACCUUAUCCUGCAUUGUUAGCACUAGGCACCCAGCUGCCACCUCUCCAUCCUGCGGCCCUUAGGCCACAUGGGAGCAGUCCAUGCAUGACAGCCUCUAUCCUACAAGGCCUAUGAGUAUGGAUUGGGGGGCCAAAAGGAAAAAGCUCCACGUGCCUCUUUGUCUGCGUGGGUCAGAAGAGUUGUGCACGCAGAUUAGCAGGCCAAGGUCUGAGCCACAGCAGCAUUUUUAUUUCAGAUUUUGAUAACUGUUUAUAUGUGUUGAAAACCAAAAUGACAUCUUUUUAAAGCUUAUCCAUAAAAAAAAUAGAUGUCUUUUAUAGUGGAAAAACACAUGGGGAAAAAAAUCAUCUAUUUUGAUGCAGCAUUUGAUAAUGAUAAAACACCUCACACCUCACUCUUUAUAGUGCACAAAAUGAAUGAGGUCUGGGCUAGGUAGAAAAAGGGUCAAUGCUAUUUUUGUUUUUAGAAUCAUUACCUUUUACCAGCUUUUAACCAUCUGAUAUCUAUAGUAGACACACUAUCAUAGUUAACAUAGUUAAGUUCAGCACUUGUCUCAUUUUAAUGUAAAGAUUUGCUUCCAUUUUCCUACAGGCAGUCUCUCUCUUCCUCACAGUCCCACUGUGCAGGUGCUAUUGUUACUCUUACGAAUAUUUUCAGUAAUGUUAUUUUCUUCUAAGUGAAAUUUCUAGCCUGCACUUUGAUGUCAUGUGUUCCCUUUGUCUUUCAAACUCCAAGGUUCCCCUGUGGCCCUCUCCCUUACCCUGGGAAGGCCUCUUGGAGACCUUACCCCUGGCUGUUUGGACUUUGUAUACUUUAAAUAAUUUAACUACCCUUAAUUACUUAAAAAAAAAAAAAA